AUUGAACGCUGGCGGCAGGCCUAACACAUGCAAGUCGAGCGGCAGCGACUUAACUGAACCUUCGGGGAACGUUAAGGGCGGCGAGCGGCGGACGGGUGAGUAAUGCCUGGGAAUAUGCCCUGAUGUGGGGGAUAACUAUUGGAAACGAUAGCUAAUACCGCAUAAUCUCUUCGGAGCAAAGAGGGGGACCUUCGGGCCUCUCGCGUCAGGAUUAGCCCAGGUGGGAUUAGCUUGUUGGUGAGGUAAUGGCUCACCAAGGCAACGAUCCCUAGCUGGUCUGAGAGGAUGAUCAGCCACACUGGAACUGAGACACGGUCCAGACUCCUACGGGAGGCAGCAGUGGGGAAUAUUGCACAAUGGGGGAAACCCUGAUGCAGCCAUGCCGCGUGUGUGGAGAAGGCCUUCGGGUUGUAAAGCACUUUCAGUAGGGAGGAAGGUAGUGUAGUUAACACCUGCACUAUUUGACGUUACCUACAGAAGAAGCACCGGCUAACUCCGUGCCAGCAGCCGCGGUAAUACGGAGGGUGCGAGCGUUAAUCGGAAUUACUGGGCGUAAAGCGCAUGCAGGCGGCCUGUUAAGUCAGAUGUGAAAGCCCGGGGCUUAACCUCGGAAUUGCAUUUGAAACUGGCAGGCUAGAGUCUUGUAGAGGGGGGUAGAAUUUCAGGUGUAGCGGUGAAAUGCGUAGAGAUCUGAAGGAAUACCAGUGGCGAAGGCGGCCCCCUGGACAAAGACUGACGCUCAGAUGCGAAAGCGUGGGGAGCAAACAGG
Molecule: ribosomal RNA, 769 nt
Filed under: uncultured bacterium
Lineage: Bacteria
Description: bacterial SSU rRNA
Rfam family: Bacterial small subunit ribosomal RNA
Source: RNAcentral